AGGGAAUAUUGGACAAUGGGGGCAACCCUGAUCCAGCCAUGCCGCGUGAGUGAAGAAGGCCCUCGGGUUGUAAAGCUCUUUUGUCCGGAAAGAAAAGCAUUCGGUGAAUACCCGGAUGUUCUGACGGUACCGAAAUAAUAAGCACCGGCUAACUUCGUGCCAGCAGCCGCGGUAAUACGAAGGGUGCAAGCUUUACGCGGAAUUACUGGGCGUAAAGCGUGCGUAGGUGGUUGUUUAAGUCUGAUGUGAAAGGCCUGGGCUCAACCUGGGAAUUGUAUUGGAACCUGGGCAGCUAGAGUGCGGUAGAGGGUAGUGGAAUUCCCGGUGUAGCAGUCAAAUGCGUUGAGAGCGGGAGGAACAUCUGUGGCGAAGGCGACUGCAUGGACCAGCACUGACACUGAG
RNAcentral lists this ribosomal RNA (402 nucleotides) under uncultured bacterium. Its description in RNAcentral is "bacterial SSU rRNA". It matches the Rfam family "Bacterial small subunit ribosomal RNA", at positions 356 to 750 of the family's 1533-position model. The record is from RNAcentral.